This is a non-coding RNA of Zunongwangia profunda SM-A87, 111 nucleotides long. NCBI's taxonomy places the organism in Bacteria, Pseudomonadati, Bacteroidota, Flavobacteriia, Flavobacteriales, Flavobacteriaceae. The record is from Rfam.
GCGUUAUCAAGAAAGGUUGAGGGAUUAGACCCGGUGAAACCUUAGCAACCCUCUGUGUAUUAUAGAGAAGGUGCUACCUUCUACUACGUUUUUUUCGUAGAUAGAUAACAU